GUUUUGCCACCAAAAUUUGACAGAGCCUGGAGCUGCUUCUGCUGCCCUGCGUGUGCUCAGUGACCUGGAGAGGAUCUAGCCAAGUCUCUCCUUAGCAGUUCCCAAGCUAUUCUUUCUCUCAUACCGUGCUGCUCUGGGAGGAGAGGGCAGCUCUUGGAGGAUGCUAGUCGUGAGGAAGCCUAUUGGACCACCACAACUCACUUGAAUACUUUGAUCCCAAAUUCUGCUGUUAUUAAAAUAGGCAGUAGGCUGGCAGCUGGGACGUGUGAGAGCAGACGAGGGAUUCUUUUCAGGCGGAGAACGAAUAAGGAAGACUGAGGAUGCAGAUUGGAAUGGAAGAAAAUGCCAAGUGAUUAAAUGGCUCUAGAUGAGUGGAGAUACGGCUUAAGAGAUUGAUGGUUGCCUGCUGGGUGGAGAGAUGGAAGAAAAGAUUACACUCAUGUGCACCAGGAUUGCAAAUCCACUCAUCCCCUCCUCCAUGUUAAAUUGCGGUUGUUUCUUGGUUUUAGCCUUCCCAUGUGUAAACUUUCACAGCUCUGUACUGCACCUUUAUGGCCCCAUCUGCUGUUUCCAUCUCCCAGAACCUCUUAUCUGGUUUUGGGGGAAAAAGCCUAUAAAA
Molecule: long non-coding RNA, 619 nt
Organism: Calidris pugnax (ruff)
Lineage: Eukaryota; Metazoa; Chordata; Aves; Charadriiformes; Scolopacidae
Exons: 3
Source: RefSeq, a predicted model, not a curated record